RNAcentral lists this transfer RNA (84 nucleotides) under Treponema sp. Its description in RNAcentral is "tRNA-Leu". It matches the Rfam family "tRNA". From Rfam's summary of the family: Transfer RNA (tRNA) molecules are approximately 80 nucleotides in length. The record is from RNAcentral. Lineage: Bacteria; Pseudomonadati; Spirochaetota; Spirochaetia; Treponematales; Treponemataceae.
GCCGAGAUGGUGGAAUGGUAGACACCGGGGACUUAAAAUCCCCUCCCCGUAGAGGGGGUACGGGUUCAACUCCCGUUCUCGGCA